This 382-nucleotide long non-coding RNA is filed under the name Glycine max (soybean). RNAcentral describes it as "long non-coding RNA (GMAX_LNC002838)". Lineage: Eukaryota; Viridiplantae; Streptophyta; Magnoliopsida; Fabales; Fabaceae. The record is from RNAcentral.
GUAAAUAAGACUACUGGAGUGAGUUAAAAAAAAGCUAUCAAGUUCUACAGUAUAUGCAAUAUCUUCUUUAUUAACGACAAAUAAACUAAAAAAAAAAAAAGGAUGAUAAGAAGUUUAAGAGGAAAAAGGAGAAGAGUAUAAGGAGAAGGAAGAAGACGAAGCAAGACAAAAACCAAGUUCGCCUAUUCCUUUCUGAAAGGAGAAAGUAAAAGAUUAUUUUUUUAACUGUUGGAGAUGUUCCUGAGAGAAUCCCCACUUCCAGUGUUGUUAUAAAUUCGUGCAUGUAGGAACACUCCUUCUGCUGCUACUUGUACCAGACCAGAGAGAGUGAUAUAUAGACACACACAAAGAGAGGGACACAUAGAAAAACCAAAAGGAAAAU